This 217-nucleotide unclassified non-coding RNA is filed under the name Hevea brasiliensis (rubber tree). Lineage: Eukaryota; Viridiplantae; Streptophyta; Magnoliopsida; Malpighiales; Euphorbiaceae. The record is from RNAcentral.
AGGAGACAGGUAGAGUUUCAUGCUAUCCAAUGUAAAUAUGCAUUUCUUUUAUGAAGUGUGCUGUGUAAAACUAUAGCUUCUUUAAAAUAGUUAUGUUUAUGUAUGUAAUAAAAAAUAAACUUUGAAUCCUUUCACUAGGUUGGGAGUGAAAUUGUGCGAGUCUGUCGACAAACAUAUUUAUCUGUACAAAAUAUCGGGAUUUAACGUGUGAAACAAG